RNAcentral lists this ribosomal RNA (492 nucleotides) under uncultured bacterium. RNAcentral's name for it is "partial 16S ribosomal RNA". It matches the Rfam family "Bacterial small subunit ribosomal RNA", at positions 29 to 507 of the family's 1533-position model. The record is from RNAcentral.
AGUGAACGCUGGCGGUAGGCCUAACACAUGCAAGUCGAACGGCAGCACAGUAAGAGCUUGCUCUUACGGGUGGCGAGUGGCGGACGGGUUAGGAAUACAUCGGAAUCUACCUUUUCGUGGGGGAUAACGUAGGGAAACUUACGCUAAUACCGCAUACGACCUACGGGUGAAAGCAGGGGAUCUUCGGACCUUGCGCGAUUGAAUGAGCCGAUGUCGGAUUAGCUAGUUGGCGGGGUAAAGGCCCACCAAGGCGACGAUCCGUAGCUGGUCUGAGAGGAUGAUCAGCCACACUGGAACUGAGACACGGUCCAGACUCCUACGGGAGGCAGCAGUGGGGAAUAUUGGACAAUGGGCGCAAGCCUGAUCCAGCCAUACCGCGUGGGUGAAGAAGGCCUUCGGGUUGUAAAGCCCUUUUGUUGGGAAAGAAAAGCAGCAGGUUAAUACCCCGCUGUUCUGACGGUACCCAAAGAAUAAGCACCGGCUAACUUCGUG